Molecule: non-coding RNA, 116 nt
Organism: Triticum aestivum (bread wheat)
Lineage: Eukaryota; Viridiplantae; Streptophyta; Magnoliopsida; Poales; Poaceae
Source: Rfam
CACGUACUCCCUCCGUUCGGAAUAUCUUGUCGCAGAAAUGAAUGUAUCUAGAUGUAUUUUAGUUCUAGAUACAUUCAUAUCCGAGACAAGUAAAUUCUGAACGGAGGGAGGGAGUA